GGAGGAGAUAGUGAAUCACAGGAUGCUCGUGCAUAGCAGAUCUGAGUGGAUGGAGGCAUAUUAUGCCUCCAUCAACUCAGAAGUCCUUCUGGUGGCAUUCUGAGUGACUGCAACUGGAGGUGUUCCUAGCUUUCAAUGUAAACACUGUAUUUUCUCAGAAAAUACAGUGUUUAAAUGAGAGGCUGCAGGGAGCUAUAGUUCUCACCUGAACAACCUCAUUAAGCUAAAGUUGUUCAGGUGACUUUAGUGUCCCUUUAAAUCUGCCCACAACAAACCAAUAUUAAAGGGACACUAGAAUCACCAAAAUAACUACAGGUUAGUGUACUUGUUCUGUUGUCUACUCUCUAUCCCUGCAGGCAUUUUGCUGUAAACUCUGCCCUCUCAGAGAAAAAGCACAUUACAUCCUAGGGACAACUCCAUUUGCUAAACCUCAGACUGCCAGUAGAGGUGCUUCCUGGUGCAGAACUGACAUUCAGCGGAGACGCUAAACUUUUCCCACAGAGAUGCAUUGAUUUAAUGCACCUCUGAGGAGAUGCUAAAUGGUCAGAGAGUAUAUGGCCCUGCUUCCAUGGCUGAGAUAAUCAGAAUUGACUAUCUCAGCCAAUCCAAUGCUUUCCUGUGGGAUUCUGAUUGUCACCCAAGGAGGCAGGGCCGGUGUCGGCAGACCCACACGCCGCUGGUAUAAAG
Non-coding RNA from Pelobates cultripes (western spadefoot toad), 687 nucleotides. Lineage: Eukaryota; Metazoa; Chordata; Amphibia; Anura; Pelobatidae. The record is from the annotation of a GenBank genome assembly.